Non-coding RNA from Mus musculus (house mouse), 334 nucleotides. Lineage: Eukaryota; Metazoa; Chordata; Mammalia; Rodentia; Muridae. The record is from the annotation of a RefSeq genome assembly.
AUGCAUUCCUUACAUGUUUCACUAGUGUUCCUCUGGCUUCAACUAGGGGUGAGCAGCCAGGAGAAGGUACAGCAGAGCCCAGAAUCCCUCAUUGUCCCAGAGGGAGCCAUGUCCUCCCUCAACUGCACUUUCAGCAACAGUGCUUCUCAGUCCAUCUGGUGGUACCAACAGCAUCCUGGGAAAGGCCCCGAAGCACUAAUAUCCAUAUUCUCUAAUGGCAACAAGAAAGAAGGCAGAUUGACAGUUUACCUCAAUAGAGCCAGCCUGCAUGUUUCCCUGCACAUCAGAGACUCCCAGCCCAGUGACUCUGCCGUCUACCUCUGUGCAGUGAGCA